UACGUAGGCAGCGAGCGUUGUUCGGAGUUACUGGGCGUAAAGGGUGUGUAGGCGGUUGUUUAAGUUUGGUGUGAAAUCUCCCGGCUCAACUGGGAGGGUGCGCCGAAUACUGAAUGACUAGAGUGUGGGAGAGGUGAGUGGAAUUCCUGGUGUAGCGGUGAAAUGCGUAGAUAUCAGGAGAACACCGGUGGUGUAGACGGCUCACUGGACCAUAACUGACGCUGAAACACGAAAGCGUGGGUAGCAAACAGG
This 252-nucleotide ribosomal RNA is filed under the name uncultured bacterium. Its description in RNAcentral is "partial 16S ribosomal RNA". It matches the Rfam family "Bacterial small subunit ribosomal RNA", at positions 524 to 776 of the family's 1533-position model. The record is from RNAcentral.